GCGGGCGUAGCUCAGUUGGUAGAGCAUCAGCCUUCCAAGCUGACGGUCGCGGGUUCGAACCUCGUCGCCCGCUCUA
RNAcentral lists this transfer RNA (76 nucleotides) under Candidatus Zhuqueibacterota bacterium. Its description in RNAcentral is "candidate division KSB1 bacterium tRNA-Gly". It matches the Rfam family "tRNA". From Rfam's summary of the family: Transfer RNA (tRNA) molecules are approximately 80 nucleotides in length. Their secondary structure includes four short double-helical elements and three loops (D, anti-codon, and T loops). Further hydrogen bonds mediate the characteristic L-shaped molecular structure. tRNAs have two regions of fundamental functional importance: the anti-codon, which is responsible for specific mRNA codon recognition, and the 3' end, to which the tRNAs corresponding amino acid is attached (by aminoacyl-tRNA synthetases). tRNAs cope with the degeneracy of the genetic code in two manners: having more than one tRNA (with a specific anti-codon) for a particular amino acid; and 'wobble' base-pairing, i.e. permitting non-standard base-pairing at the 3rd anti-codon position. The record is from RNAcentral. Lineage: Bacteria; Pseudomonadati.